GGAAGUUGAGAAGGGGUUGUUUAACAAGUGCCUCUACCAUCACUCACCUUUUGCUGUCUACGUGCCAUGUCUGUGGGCUGUUUAGCGUUAAAGGGUUUGGUCCAUGGUGUUGCAGCCUCUUCCGUAGCUCCAAACUCCACCACCCUCCAAUCUCCCUGUCCUUUGGAAGCCGCUAACAGCAGAGAUGGGCAGGCUGAGCUCUCUGGUGACUCACAGGAAGACUGCAGGAUGCGAGUGUCUCUGUGCAACAUCAGAGGAGAGGUGAAGACAGUGGCAUUCGGGGAAUACAAAGGAUAUGAAGAGAGUUGUGGGUAUCAGGAUGAAGAAAGAAUCGACACGGAUGGCUCCAGCCUAUCAAAGUCCAGAGAAAUGUUACAUGAAACACAAUAGUGUUCAAAUUAACGUUAUCAUUCUAUUUAUACAUGUAUUUUAUAUGGACUGUGUGAAUGUGGGCACAAUGUAUAAAGGUCCCAUAUUGUGGAAUGUAUGUAGAUUAUGAGUUGAAGGUGCUAUGGAGUCCUUUGGAGUUCCGUGGCGUUAUGACAUCACAACAGUUUUCUUCAGCACGGCCCCCUUGUAGCCAGAAAAAAUCCUAGUACUCAGCACAGAAGGUAUUCAGUUCAUUGGCAGUAACCAACCAAUCAGAACAGAGGUUCACUGAUAUCAAUGAGCCUUAGAGAUGCAGUCACUAAAACAGCCUGUUCAGGAAAGCUCAUGAGAGGCACUAAUGAAUGAUGUAAAAGGAUAGAGAUUGUCUUUGGUACUUAAAACCACACAAAUGUGUUAUGAUAUCAGGACCUAAAAUAAAGCACUGGAAAGGUAUAAUAUGGGACCUUACUGACAAACUGAGGAAGCUUGGGGGGUGCUGCUAUGAACUUGAAGGAGUCCUCUAACCUCAAUGGAUUUGGUGAAUAUCCAAUUAGAUUAUAGUGCUCAUUGUACAUUGUAUACAGUCAACACAAUGCAGUUGUAUCGAAAAUAGCUGUUCCAGUAUAGUGCUCAUUGAAUACUUGACUCAUACUUGUGCAACAGUUUGUAUGCCUUUACUGCUGUUAAGUAGA
This is a long non-coding RNA of Conger conger (European conger), 1061 nucleotides long. RefSeq lists it as uncharacterized. The transcript is spliced from 3 exons. The record is from RefSeq and is a predicted model, not a curated record. Lineage: Eukaryota; Metazoa; Chordata; Actinopteri; Anguilliformes; Congridae.